GAGUUUGAUCGUGGCUCAGGACGAACGCUGGCGGCGUGCUUAACACAUGCAAGUCGAGCGGUGAUCCUCCUUCGGGAGGUGAUCAGCGGCGAACGGGGUGAGUAACACGUGGGCAACCUGCCCCUCACACUGGGAUAACCUCGGGAAACCGGGGCUAAUACCGGAUACGACCUCGAGCGGCAUCUCUUGAGGUGGAAAGCUCCGACGGUGAGGGAUGGGCCCGCGGCCUAUCAGCUUGUUGGUGGGGUAAUGGCCUACCAAGGCGACGACGGGUAGCCGGCCUGAGAGGGCGACCGGCCACACUGGGACUGAGACACGGCCCAGACUCCUACGGGAGGCAGCAGUGGGGAAUAUUGCGCAAUGGGCGAAAGCCUGACGCAGCGACGCCGCGUGAGGGAUGAAGGCCCUCGGGUUGUAAACCCCCUUUCAGGGGGGACGAAGGUAAGGCCGGUGAACAGCCGGUCGGACUGACGGUACCCCCAGAACGAAGACUCCGGCUAACUACGUGCCAGCAGCCGCCGCGGUAAG
Molecule: ribosomal RNA, 528 nt
Filed under: uncultured bacterium
Lineage: Bacteria
Description: bacterial SSU rRNA
Rfam family: Bacterial small subunit ribosomal RNA
Source: RNAcentral